RNAcentral lists this ribosomal RNA (253 nucleotides) under uncultured bacterium. RNAcentral describes it as "partial 16S ribosomal RNA". It matches the Rfam family "Bacterial small subunit ribosomal RNA", at positions 524 to 776 of the family's 1533-position model. The record is from RNAcentral.
CACGUAGGAGGCGAGCGUUGUCCGGAAUCAUUGGGCGUAAAGAGCGCGCAGGCGGCUUGGCAAGUCGGGUGUGAAAUCCCGGGGCUCAACCCCGUGACUGCAUCCGAUACUGUCAGGCUAGAGGUAGGUGGGGGAGAUCGGAAUUCCUGGUGUAGCGGUGAAAUGCGCAGAUAUCAGGAGGAACACCGGUGGCGAAGGCGGGUCUCUGGGCAGUAACUGACGCUGAGGAACGAAAGCGUGGGUAGCAAACAGG